GCUCGGGGCCCGCUGCGGGGCAAAGGUGACCAGAAGUCAGCAGCUUCCCAGAAGCCCCGAAGCCGGGGCAUCCUCCACUCACUCUUCUGCUGUGUCUGCCGGGAUGAUGGGGAGGCCCUGCCUGCUCACAGCGGGGCGCCCCUGCUUGUGGAGGAGAAUGGCGCCAUCCCUAAGCAGACCCCAGUCCAAUACCUGCUCCCUGAGGCCAAGGCCCAGGACUCAGACAAGAUCUGCGUGGUCAUCGACCUGGACGAGACCCUGGUGCACAGCUCCUUCAAGCCAGUGAACAACGCGGACUUCAUCAUCCCUGUGGAGAUUGAUGGGGUGGUCCACCAGGUGAGGGCCAGGAAGAGGCAGUGGUG
Molecule: small RNA, 362 nt
Filed under: Pan troglodytes (chimpanzee)
Lineage: Eukaryota; Metazoa; Chordata; Mammalia; Primates; Hominidae
Description: retained intron
Source: RNAcentral